UGGGGAAUUUUGGACAAUGGACGAAAGUCUGAUCCAGCCAUGCCGCGUGCGGGAAGAAGGCCUUCGGGUUGUAAACCGCUUUUGUCAGGGAAGAAACGGCGCGCUCUAAUACAGUGUGCUAAUGACGGUACCUGAAGAAUAAGCACCGGCUAACUACGUGCCAGCAGCCGCGGUAAUACGUAGGGUGCAAGCGUUAAUCGGAAUUACUGGGCGUAAAGCGUGCGCAGGCGGUUAUGCAAGACAGAUGUGAAAUCCCCGGGCUCAACCUGGGAACUGCAUUUGUGACUGCAUGGCUAGAGUACGGUAGAGGGGGAUGGAAUUCCGCGUGUAGCAGUGAAAUGCGUAGAUAUGCGGAGGAACACCGAUGGCGAAGGCAAUCCCCUGGACCUGUACUGACGCUCAUGCACGAAAGCGUGGGGAGCAAACAGG
RNAcentral lists this ribosomal RNA (429 nucleotides) under uncultured Comamonadaceae bacterium. Its description in RNAcentral is "bacterial SSU rRNA". It matches the Rfam family "Bacterial small subunit ribosomal RNA", at positions 355 to 776 of the family's 1533-position model. Lineage: Bacteria; Pseudomonadati; Pseudomonadota; Betaproteobacteria; Burkholderiales; Comamonadaceae. The record is from RNAcentral.